Molecule: ribosomal RNA, 492 nt
Filed under: uncultured bacterium
Lineage: Bacteria
Description: partial 16S ribosomal RNA
Rfam family: Bacterial small subunit ribosomal RNA
Source: RNAcentral
AGUGAACGCUGGCGGUAGGCCUAACACAUGCAAGUCGAACGGCAGCACAGUAAGAGCUUGCUCUUACGGGUGGCGAGUGGCGGACGGGUGAGGAAUACAUCGGAAUCUACUUUUUCGUGGGGGAUAACGUAGGGAAACUUACGCUAAUACCGCAUACGACCUACGGGUGAAAGCAGGGGAUCUUCGGACCUUGCGCGAUUGAAUGAGCCGAUGUCGGAUUAGCUAGUUGGCGGGGUAAAGGCCCACCAAGGCGACGAUCCGUAGCCGGUCUGAGAGGAUGAUCAGCCACACUGGAACUGAGACACGGUCCAGACUCCUACGGGAGGCAGCAGUGGGGAAUAUUGGACAAUGGGCGCAAGCCUGAUCCAGCCAUACCGCAUGGGUGAAGAAGGCCUUCGGGUUGUAAAGCCCUUUUGUUGGGAAAGAAAAGCAGCAGGUUAAUACCCCGCUGUUCUGACGGUACCCAAAGAAUAAGCACCGGCUAACUUCGUG